CUCGGUGCGAGUUUUGUACUUGUACAUACAUGCAGGGUAUGUCGUCGGAUGUCCGGAGUCACUACGCCUCCACCGUCACCGUGGGAGAUAUCGAACCUUGGGUCUCCCUCGUCAACAACUUCCCCGGCUGUGACGGAAUGGAUACGGACGAGGGCAACAAGGCCUGCCGCAUCUAUCCCAUUUUGAACGGCAAGGACCGCGACCUGGCUGCCAUUGCUGCUAAGAAGGCUGGCAAGCACGACAAGCCCAAGUACUGCGACUUCUGCGGCUAAUCGCAUAUCAUGCGAUAAUGCGCAUGGUGGUGAUCCUUCGUUUCUACUAGCGGUACAUCAAGACGUGGAUGAACGUAGCUGCCAGGGUGUGAGGCUUAAUUGUAUGGUCAAGCCGCAUAUGUAUUCUCUUUUGAUGUGUGUGAUCAUAGGCAAGCAUGUGUACGGCGGUAGGGGUGUUACACAUGACGGAAGUCAGUAGAGCAUCAUAGACCAUCAUGCACAUGGGGGAAGAGGCUGGGGGACUCAGUGCAGGUUAGUAUCGGGUCAGUUGCUGUCGGGAGGCGGAUGGUACAGCGCCACCUGCAUGGGUAUAGCUGCACUGAGUGGAAUCAUCAUCUGAAGACAGUGAUGCGGUCAUCAGUUUCCAUUUCCUCUGGAACACAAGCAAACUCGUGGCUUAGUGGCUGUCCGUUGUAAUGAACACGCAAUUCUCUGUCUAGGUACCACAGCUGCCUGAUCUCCCACAAGCAUGCUCUCCGCUUGGCUGCCAAAGCAGGCAGGGAUUCUUUUCAGAACACUGAGUUAGUCCUGGUCGUAGUCGUAGCGGAGCUUGCUGCAUGCCGGACCACUUGUUCUUCCUUUCCAUGUCUGUGUCUAUUACAGCGACAGGCGAUGUGCCCUUUGCGGCAAUAACGGCGUCUAAUUUGAACCAGGGAAGAUUUGGGCAGCGUAAGCCGAAAUAUGAACUGCCAGCAAAAGGAAAGGUGCUGCGUUCUGGUCAGUUGGAUGGCAAGAUGUGAAAUCCGGCCGUCAUCGGCUGUCGUCAAGCCGGCUACAGCCAUGUGCAGCAGUAAUGUGCAGUUAGACAUGCGGCGUGCACGUAGGCUGAAGUGCACGUGUGUGAACGAUGCCACAAACUGGCAUGAAUAUCAGUAGGCCGAAAGGAAGGGGCCCAGGCAGUGCGCACGCGCAUGUGUGUAUGUACGUAUGUGCGUGCGUGUGUGUAUGGGUGUGACUGGGUGUGUGUGUGUGCGUGUGUAUGUGUGUUUUACAUCACCUAACCGGGUUCUGAUACCUGACCAAGGGGCAGCUACUGGACCUGACACUGACCAGGGAUGCAGGGUCCCUGCCCUGACGGAGGGCAGCAGUCGUCAGCAGUCUAGUCGCUCUCCGACACAGGAAGAGAGGGCCUUGAGGGGUGGGCUGCUGACCCCAUCGUGGCGAGUGCACCUACCGUGUAUACACGUAUGUUAUUACAGGGUGGUUAACUUCGCCAACGGCCCCCUUUCCCGAGGCAGUCCCUGCUCUCCCCUGCUAGAGGGGCACCCUAAUCCGUAUGUAUGUAUGAAUAGGACCCCAUGCGUGGUCAACCCCGGAAGCACCUACUCCUCAAGCCCCGAUUUGCUGGAAAACUCCUGAACCCCUACGCCGCGUUACGUCGGUCUAUCUGUAUGUAUGCAUGUAUGAGCGCGCGGCUCAGGCUCCUCAUGAGCUCCUCGCGAAUAGGUCGCAUGUACCACUACAGUGGUAGGUCCACCGCCAGAAAGUCCGGCGGUACCCGGGGGCACUUCCAGGGACCCCGCCUUGCGAGUUCGCAAGGAAGCAAAGCAAAGCAAAGCGAAGGCUGAGGACAUUAGAGGUGGAGCAGAUUAGACAGGUCAGCCAUGGUGGCCGCAGUCGGCAGCUGAAGCCCGGUCAGUGAAACCCUUCGACCCGGGUACACAAUUACAAGGAUUCGUGUUCCUAAGCAAUUCCUAGUUCUAGUACCCCAUUGCUAAGUCCCGCUCCGCCUACCACAAAUCAAAGCGUGGGCACAAAAAGCACGGCAUUCUCGACAGAUGCCCAUUUACCAUCUGUACGUGAACAUGCAUGCAUGGUUCAGCAUGCAUGAGACAUGUGCAUACACGCAUAUGCACAACGGUGCAGCAUGCGGGGAACCCCGACCCCGAUCGGGCCCGAGUGCCCGAGAAGCACACCACGUUGACACUACCCUAGCCACCGGCCUGUACGGAUGCCCCCGCGGGGCCCCCGCCCUAUUUCCAGCUUCAAGGAAGCCGACACCCGACUUGUCUCUUCCGUGUAUAUUCUUGAGUACUAGAACGUUUCCAUUGUACUAUGUCCCUAACCUAACUUGUGGCUCUUAGGCUCUUGGACCUCUGGCUCGUACGGGCCUGUCACACCUCUCUGGGUAAUUUGCAAAGGCCGGCUGGAGACCAGCUUCCUCCAGAGAUGUGACUCAACAUUUCCUAGGUGCGUGGAGCACACAAACAAGUCGCCACAAUCAAUCGUCUGGUGCCGAUAGACGGGGGCAAAACUUGAUGAGGGGUGUGUUUGUGUGUGUGGUGGGGGAUCACAAUAACUUGGUUAGCAUGGUCCCGACUAUGCCAACCGUACAAAAAGCGGGAGGGUAUCCGGGGUUCUCCCGGGAUACUACCGAGCAUCCAUUCCACCGUUAGAUCACAACGUCGAUUGACUCACGUGCCGGUCGUGGUCCCAUCCAGGAACUUAUCCACGACGACAUGAUGUAUGACGUGUGAGCUCACGUCAACACCUUCCUCCCCCGGGCGAAUAUGUAGCGGUUGUAUUCGUCACACCCAUUUACUAUAAUGGUGGCAAAUGUCCGUACCCCUCAUCAGCUUGCCAGCGUUGGACGCGACGAUGCCUAGCGUGUAGACGGCUUCUGUGCCGGCGUCCCAUCCAGUGCAAGGUUCAGAUAGCACAGUCUCGGAACGCACCACGAAUCAGUCGAGCAAUUCGCACCAUCCAACAACUGAACGGGGGAUUUAAGCGAAGGAUGCCUCAUAUUAUUGUGCAUCUGUCCCUUACUCAUACAUUGAAUUUCAGCUCUAUCCAGAUAAAUCUUUGCAGUGAUCCGCUUGGGGUCUGGUGCUAUAUCUGAAAAUGGCUUUGAGGGUUGUGUUUGGCAUUCUAUUGCUGGUGUUGGUGGCGCAGCAGGCCGCAGCGGGGGGAAGCGGAGGCAAGGAGCGCCGCUGGCCCAAGGAGUUGAAGGAGGAUUUUCAGGUACAUAGGAUAAUCGGUAAAUCGGUAAAUAGAAAAUAGGUAAAUAGGUAAAUAGGUAGGUAGGGAGGUAGGGCUGAUGUACCCAACCUUUACCACUUGACCCGGUCGCCUCACUCCCUCAUUCGCCAUUCCAUGCACCCUUCCCCCCUAGGACACACACACCAUCACACUAAAACACACACGCACGACGCAACCAGGGCCCCACAUGUUCAUGCGUUGCAGUUUGAGCUCCGCAACAUCUACAGCAACCGGCAGAACGGCAGUCGCUACAACUUCCUCACCAAGUACCGCUAUCCCAGCAGCUCUGGUGGGUGCAGUACAUUCGUAGGGAACUGACAAAGCCGUCCGGACGAGGCAGGGGGCCGCGUUUCGCUCCAUUCGGAGGCAGCGGCGCUGCGAGCCGAAUGCUUUGCCUUCCUGCGUGCUGCAACGCGCUGUGCUGUGCUCGUCUACUGCAGAGGCGUUCGAUUUCCAUGAGGCGGAAGAGUUAAUUCUGAAGUUCGUGCCUGCCGGUGGCAUGGGCAUCCCAGGCGACGCAUUCACUGAAGUCCUUUCCCUCGCCAUCGCUAAGGCGCUCUGGGCGAAGUUUAACCUUGUCGGCUUGAGCUUCCGCAUUGAGGUGCAGGUGUGUGGGGGAGCCCUGUCUGCGGGUGAUGGCGGCUAAUGUGAGGCCGCCUCAUCAGCCCCCGAUGAUAAGGUUCAGCUAGGGUUAGCCUGGAAGAACGAGACCUCGAGAUUCAGAUGCACAGGAUUACGUAAGAGUACAAACCAAUAAGGAAGGACUUAGGACGAUGUGGAUUGAACGGGCGUAGCUGGGACUCGCCAUGCCGCGUGCUGUACCGUGGUCCGGCAGAUUGCGCGCAUCUAUGUCCUUCGAGGACUUGCGGCGUUUAUUUAUUUCGUAGUACGAUACCGGAUUCUGGGUUGCUGGUAAGUAAUAAUAUCAGGGGUCGCGACCUGCGCCUUUUAACGGUCGCAGCGCCCACGCUACCCACCCAAGCUGACCAUCUUCCUUCGAUGCCAUUCAAACAUGUAACCGGCGCCUGCUGGUUCGCCCACCCUUCAUUUGCAUACGUUUUUGGCCUUCCUGGCUCGGUGCGAGUUUUGUACUUGUACAUAUAUGCAGGGUAUGUCGUCGGACGUCCGAAGUCACUACGCCUCCACCGUCACCGUGGGAGAUAUCGAACCUUGGGUCUCCCUCGUCAACAACUUCCCCGGCUGUGACGGCAUGGACACGGACGAGGGCAACAAGGCCUGCCGCAUCUAUCCCAUUUUGAACGGCAAGGACCGCGACCUGGUUGCCACUGCUGCUAAGAAGGCUGGCAAGCACGACAAGCCCAAGUACUGCGAUUUCUGCGGCUAAUCGCAUAUCACACAUGCGCAUGGUGGUGAUCCUUCGUUUCUACUAGCGGUACAUCAAGACGUGGAUGAACGUAGCUGCCAGGGUGUGAGGCUUAAUUGUAUGGUCAAGCCGCAUAUGCAUUCUCUUUUGAUGUGUGUGAUCAUAGGCAAGCAUGUGUAUGGCGGUAGGGGUAUUACACAUGGCGGAAGUCAGUAGAGCAUCAUAGGCCAUCAUGCACAUGGGGGAAGAGGCCGGGGGACUCAGUGCAGGUUAGUAUCGGGUCAGUUGCUGUCGGGAGGCGGAUGGUACAGCGCCACCUGCAUGGGUAUAGCUGCACAAGAGCUGGAGUCAUCACCUGAAGACAGUGGUGUGGUCAUCAGUGAAUUUCCUCUGGAACACAAGCAAACUCGUGGCUUGGUGGCUGUCCGUUGUAAUGAACACGCAAUUCUCUGUCUAGGUACCACAGCUGCAUGAUCUCCCACAAGCAUGCUCUCCGCUUGGCUGCCAAAGCAGGCAGGGAUUCAGAACACCGAGUUAGUCGUAGUCGUAGUCGUACGGCGCCGAGUUGGUGUGUGCGGUGCCGUGCUGGCGCUGCUCCAGUUGCUUGGCGACGUACUCACCGCCGUUGUCGCUGUGCAGCGUGUGCACCCGUGCGUGGUUCGGAUGGCGGGCCUCCAGCUGUGUCACCAUGUCCUGCAGCACUUCGCCCAUUGGCUCUUGCUGGCCAGCGUGCGGACGGCGGACAGACCGGUGGCACCAUCCAGCAGCGUCAGCAAGUAGCGUGCACCCCCAUCGGCCCAUGGUCGGCAUGGGGCCACACAGGUCAGAGUGUACGACCUCCAGUGCGUGCUACGGCCGGUUGCCGCGGCUGGGGUGGGCGGUUGCGGUGGCCUUCACGGUGACACAGGCCUCGCAGACGGCCUCCACCGCCUGUCAUAGUGCCGCUGGAGUGACCUGUGGCCCCUGCACCAGCUGCUUGCUGAUCAGCUGCUUCAGCACGCGGUAACCGAGGUGACCGUACUGGCAGUGCAGGCGCUGUGCUGCCGCAAGUUCGGCGACUGAGCAUUCAGUGGCCCCGGGGCUGCCGUUGCCUAGUUGCCCUUUGCCGUUGCUGUCGCCGUUCGGUUGGCCUCCACCGGUGUGGCUGCCGGCGGUGCUGCCGCCACGGGUGCUGGUGAUGGUGGCGGCACUUCCGCCAGCGCUGCUACCUGCGGCCUGGCCCCUGCCAGCUCUGUCGCCCGUGGUGCUGAGGGCAUUGACGGUGACGUCGGUCGGCGCCUGCAGGUCCACGUCCAUGCAUAGUGCCCACGCUCACUCCAUGCGGUUAUAGACGGGCUGUUGUGCAGGAGGCUGAUGCAUAAGAACUAGCAGCCCGUCUUGUCCAUGCUGAACGUGACCGAGUAGCCGCGUGUCAUGAGGUCUGUCGACCUCUCACGAGGUCGACAGACGUCAGGGUGAGGACCGAGCUGGGGACGUGCAGCACGUUGUGCAGCCGGACAUUGUGUCCAUCACGAGUAUGCAGGUGCAGCUUCCCUGUUCCCACGACAUGUUGCCCCACCCCAUUAGCCGUGGCGCGCCGGCGGGGACAUGGUUGUGCAGCAGGGAGCGGUCACCCGUGAGGUGGUAUGGUGAGCCUGAGUCGAAGGUGACUCGUGAGCUGCUUCCACUGCGGUCGAUGACCAGCACUGGGGCACGGCUCUGGCGUGGGCUGCUUCUGCUGCUGCCCGAGCCGCUGCCACUGCUGCCGCCUGCAGUGUCGCCACCGUUGCGGUGGCUGUUGCCGCAUCGAGCACGGCCACAUUCACGUGCUCCGUCGGCCCUGCUGUUACCGCCAUUGCCGCUGCCAGUGCCCCUGCCGCCACCGUCACGGUGGCGGUUGCAGCUGCCUCAACUGAUGUUGCCGGCGGCGUGCAGCUGCUCGAAUGUGUUGCUGCGGUGAAGGCCGACGGACUCGUCCGCCUGCUUAACGGGACACUCGCGAACGUAGUGACCAGGCUGUCCGCAGUAGUAGCAGGUGUCGCCGGCCCCCACGGCGCCUGCAGCACCGGCGGCGCUGCCGAUUCCACUGGCAGCACGGCCAGGGCCGACAGCUCCCACCAGGCUUGUCUUGCUUGCUUGGGUCUUAAGGUUGUUCUCCUUCUCACGCAGCAUGAGCACGAGCUGUGGGGUCGUUAAGCUGGGCUGAUACAUCGUGAACUCGACGGUGAUGAUGCACUGCGGAGGCAGGCCAUGGAGAAUGGCGUGGUGCAUCGUGCUCUCGUCCCACUGGCCGCCGGCCACGAUUAUAUUGCUACGGAGCUGCUCUGCCUGCUGAACGAAUCAGUGGUCGUCUUCCCAUCGCGCAUGCUCAGCUGCUUCUGCGGCUCCAACAGGCUCAGCCGGGCCUGGGAUGCAGAACGCAAUUGUUGCUGUAAGAGCUGCAUGGCGGCGAGAAUGGUCUGGCAAUUCCUGAGCAACUGCUUGAUGGGCAGUUCACAGGACAGAUGCAGGUAGCCGAGCGCCUGUGCGUCCUCCUCCAGGGCGUCUUGGGCGUUGCGGCCCGGAGGCGACGGGUGUUGAUGUAGUCUUCAACUUGGAUGUUGCAAAGAAAUCGCCUAAGUCGCCGAGCCACUGGGAGUAGUUCGACCCAUCCGAGAGGAGGACACCCUUACAUCCCUUCCCCAUGAUGGUUGCCUAGCGAGCAUGACUGAUCAAGCCGUGUUCCCCGCCGCCUUUCUGGCAACUAGUUGAUGGUAUGAUGCAUCGUUGUUGCGGCGUACGAUGGCUCCUACUGCGAUUUAUGCCCUUUCAGCCUCCCAGGCAUGUCCCCACAACUGCCUCACAGCCACCGACACAUCUCACGGCGGGGGUUUAAUUGUGUGCGUGUUGGAUGCAGCGUCCCCGCCACAUUCCGGCAAAUAGUUGAUGGCGUCAUACAUCGUUGGCACGGUGUAAGACGGUGCCUGAUGCGAUUUAUGCGUCCGGAAGCCCUUUCAGCCUCCCAGGCAUGUCCCCACAACUGCCUCACAGCCAGCGGGGGUCUAAUUGCGUGCGCGUUCGCAUGCGGCAUAUGUCCCGCCGCCUUUCUGGCAUCUAUUGAUGGUAUGAUGAAUCGUUGUGCGAUGUAAGGCUGCGCCUGAUGCGAUCUCGUUUGCGGAAGGGCCCCCUGAGUGCUGCCAAGCAUGUUAUUCUCUCAUGAGACUGCGUGAAGGUUCACGAACUGAGUAUGCGACCAACACAUAAAACAUCGCAUGUGAAUUGUUAUGUCAUGCGAUUAAUCAAAGUAAAUCGUGUGUGUUUGGUGUGUGUUUGGUGCGUUAGGCCGCAGUAAACUUGACGCAACGAGCCUUAAACGCAACAUUUGUUUGCAUGCGAAUUGCGUUGCGACAUGUGUGCGUUUGGUGUGUGUUAGGCCGCGUUAAGCUUUACGCAAUCAGCCUUCAUACGCAUGAAACGCAACAUGUAUUCGCAUGCGAAUAGCCUUGCGGACUGUAUGCGUUUGAUGUGCGAUUGGACGCGUAUUGCUUUACGCAUUGUCUCCCCACACGCACGAAUCGCAAUAUGAAAUCGCAUGCGUAUCGCCUUGCUACACAUGCGCGUAUGCUUCGCGUUUCAACAUACGCACGGAUGAAUUGCUCAAGUCGACCAAAACGACACAAGUUUAUUUCCAAAUGAACCUUUAUAAUCUGAAAAUUAUAAAAUUUAAAAAUUUUAGCCAGGAGGGCCGAUUUCUGCUUUUUCUUAGCCGUUGUGCGUUAGCUCUUUGCGUUACAAAAAUAUGCUGAUUCGCACCUAACUCUAAGAUUCGCACCGUCACGCGAACUAACGCGAACUAACGCGGACUUAAGGCGAUCACCCGUCGUCAUAGUGUGUCGUGGUCAUGGCGAGCAGGACCACAAUGCUGAACGUCAGCGAUUGUACCUACAAUGACAACAAUUACUAGCUUUAUAUUCACUAGCAGUCCAAGGCUUUAAUGAAUGUAUUGACUCAAGGAUCAGUCUAUCACAACGAUAACGGCGAAGGAAAAGAAGCCAAACUAACGUUACAAUUUGUGAAAAGAAGAAGUCAUAUCUAAUACAAAGUAUUUGUUAUUUAUGUACUGGGUUAAUUACUGGCUGAACAGCGACGCAGAUCGGUCGUGCGAUGAUGCCGUGCGAAAUCUUGCCGCCGCCGAAAAGUGCGUAACAACACUACCUACAUUUUCGUUUUUAUGGCAUUGUAAAUUUGCAUUAGAUUAAGUUGGCCGAUCAUUGGCGAGCGCAAUAAUGAGCGGUAGCAAACAUCUAUGACCUCAUCUCCUCAUCUCAGCGACUAGCCUUAAUCUCGCUUUACCGACUAAUUCGGCUUCUCCCCGGGAAAUCGAACUCAGGACUUUAAACCGCUAAUUGCAAUAGUGUCAACCCAGACCAGGCCAGGGAUGAUCCUACACACGCUGAGAAGCACAUCGGCAGCGCCAACGUAACACAACGAACUUGUUAAUGACGUGGUCUGUAGCUCAGUUGCAAGGCGUGAACACCGACCUAUGGCCCUUGUUCCUGUGGCGAGUCCACCUCACCCAUUUAUUAUAAUGGUGGCGAAUGUCGGCAUUGCCCGUACUGUAGUAUGCUCAAGAUGACACAACCAUGGAUGGUGGUAUCGAAAGAUGCCGGUUGACACAAGUUGAAAGAAUAAAUAGUCGUUGUAGCAUCCACUUGGGCCUCGCGCCGAUAAGUUCCCAGUACGACUGGGCGGUGCGAUGUUCAGUUUACCAUAGUUCACAGGAACUACUCUCGUCCGGUGAAGCAGACGAACCAGGAACGCAGAUUCCAGCUUUACGUAAAGGUAAAGCCCCCGCCCAUACGCCGGUAUGGACUUCCGCAGCAGUGCGGCAUUUGGACGGCGAACUCGACUAGCAGCAGUCGCAAGCCGCCAAUAAACUGAUAUAAGUAUAAGUUAAACCUGUGAUCAACGACGGCGGAUACAAACAGGUAUUAGUUAAUAACAACAGUGUUAGAACUGAACGGACUAACGGUCAGAUGCCCGUUAGGCAACCGAGCCUAGAGCUUAACAGUAAGCAUACAGGAUACAACACGUACCCCUCAUCAGCUUGCCAGCGUUAGACGCGACGAUGCCUAGCGUGUAGACGGCUUCUGUGCCGGCGUCCCAUCCAGUGCAAGGUUCAGAUAGCACAGUCCCGGAACGCACCACGAAUCAGUCGAGAAAUUCGCACCAUCCAACCAACAACUGAAUGGGGGAUUUAAGCGAAGGAUGCCACAUAUUAUUGUGCAAUUGCCCCAUACUCUCAAAUUAGAAUUGUCUCUUUUCCAGAUAAAUCUUUGCAGUGAUCCGCUUGGGGUCUGGAGUUAUAAUUGAGAAUGGCUGCGAGGGUUGUGUUUGGCAUUCUAUUGCUGGCGUUGAUGGCGCAGCAGGCCGCAGCGGGGGGAAACGGCGACCAGGGGCGCAGCUGGCCCACGGAGUUGAAGGAGGAUUUUCAGGUACAUAGGAAGAUCGGUAAAUCGGAAAUAGGUAAAUAGAUAGUUAGGAAGGUAAGGUUGAUGUACCCAACCUUUACCACUUGACCCCGUCGCCUCACUCCCUCAUUCGCCAUUCCAUGCCCCCUUCCCCCCUAGGACACAUACACCAUCACACUAAAAAAUACAUGCACGACGCAACCGGGGCCCCACAUGUUCAUGCGUUGCAGUUUGAGCUCCGCAACAUCUACAGCAACCGGCAGAACGGCAGUCGCUACAACUUCCUCACCAAAUACCGCUAUCCCAGCAGCUCUGGUGGGUGCAGUACAUUCGCAGGGAACUGACAAAGCCGUCCGGACGAGGCAGGGGGCCGCGUUUCGCUCCAUUCGGAGGCAGCGGCGCUGCGCGCCGAAUGCUUUGCCUUCCUGCGUGCUGCAACGCGCUGCGUUGUGCUGCGCUGUGCUGUGCUCGUCUACUGCAGAGGCAUUCGAUUUCCGUGAGGCGGAAGAGUUAAUUCUGAAGUUCGUGCCUGCCGGUGGCAUGGGCAUCCCAGGCGACGCAUUCACUGAAGUCCUUUGCCUUGACAUCGCUAAGGCGCUCUGGGCGAAGUUUAACCUUGUCGGCUUGAGCUUCCGCAUUGAGGUGCAGGUGUGUGGGGGGCCCUGUGUGCGGGUGAUGGCGGCUAAUGUGAGGCCGCCUCAUCAGCCCCCGUUGUCCCUAAAGGGAAUGUAUUUCCCUUCGGGGUUAGCUAGGUUCAGCUAGGUUUAGCUAGGUUUAGCUAGGUUUAGCUAGGUUUAGCUAGGGCGAAUGAGACCUCGAGAUGCUGAUGCAAAGGGCCCUGACUACUUACGAUUACAAACCAAUCAGGAAGGAUUUAGGACGAUGUGGAUUGACCGGGCGUAGCUGGGCCUCGCCAUGCCGCGUGCUGUACCGUGAUACGGCAAAUGGCGCGCAUCUGUGUCCUCGUUUAUAUGUUUGUAGUACGGCACCGGAAUCUGGUUGUUUCUGGUCAUUAAUGCCAGGGGUCGCGGCUGCGGUCGCAGCGCCCACGCUACCCACCCAAGCUGACCAUCUUCCUUCGAUGCCAUUCAAAAAUGUAACCGGCGCCAACUGGUUCACCCACCCUUCGCUUGCGUACUUUUUGGCCUUCCUGGCUCCAUUCGUGCUUUGUAUUUGACGUACAUACAUGCAGGGUAUGUCGUCGGACGUCCGAAGUCACUACGCCUCCACCGUCACAGUGGGAGAUAUCGAACCUUGGGUCUCCCUCGUCAACAACUUCCCCGGCUGUGACGGCAUGGAUACGGACGAGGGCAACAAGGCCUGCCGCAUCUAUCCCACUUUGAACGGCAAGGACCGCGACCUGGUUGCCACUGCUGCUAAGAAGGCUGGCAAGCACGACAAGCCCAAGUACUGCGAUUUCUGCGGCUAAUCGCAUAUCACACAUGC
RNAcentral lists this long non-coding RNA (11450 nucleotides) under Volvox carteri. RNAcentral describes it as "long non-coding RNA (VCAR_LNC003050)". The record is from RNAcentral. Lineage: Eukaryota; Viridiplantae; Chlorophyta; Chlorophyceae; Chlamydomonadales; Volvocaceae.